GAUGAGUGUUGGUGGCCAGUGUGCUGGCGUUCCGUAUGUUGAAGGGUUUGUGUGCAGUUACCAGUAAUUGAAUCACGGAAGCGUCUCUGGGUUUAACGCCGAAUGGGCGUGUAACUAGAACGAAUCUCGAUAUCCGCUGGGAACUCUCUCACUCUUGCGGCCAGACUGUGCUGGUGUUACAGGGUGUUUGUAUACUGUAAUUGCUGCCGUGUGCUUGGGCGGAUGGCCUAGCCAAACCCGUUGUUAUACCAGGUCCCGUGCGCCCCGUCAUACGUGUGCACUGGCUUCUG
This is a long non-coding RNA of Alosa alosa (allis shad), 290 nucleotides long. RefSeq lists it as uncharacterized. The record is from RefSeq and is a predicted model, not a curated record. The transcript has 4 exons. Lineage: Eukaryota; Metazoa; Chordata; Actinopteri; Clupeiformes; Clupeidae.